AGAUUGAACGCUGGCGGCAUGCCUUACACAUGCAAGUCGAACGGUAACAGGUCUUCGGAUGCUGACGAGUGGCGAACGGGUGAGUAAUACAUCGGAACGUGCCCGAUCGUGGGGGAUAACGGAGCGAAAGCUUUGCUAAUACCGCAUACGAUCUACGGAUGAAAGCAGGGGACCGCAAGGCCUUGCGCGGACGGAGCGGCCGAUGGGCAGAUUAGGUAGUUGGUGGGGAUAAAAGGCUUACCAAGCCGACGAUCUGUAGCUGGUCUGAGAGGACG
RNAcentral lists this ribosomal RNA (275 nucleotides) under uncultured soil bacterium. RNAcentral describes it as "partial 16S ribosomal RNA". It matches the Rfam family "Bacterial small subunit ribosomal RNA", at positions 26 to 302 of the family's 1533-position model. The record is from RNAcentral.